AAAAUCAAGGCUGAGGCGUGAUGACGAGGCACUACGGUGCUGAAGCAACAAAUGCCCUGCUUCCAGGAAAAGCCUCUAAGCAUCAGGUAACAUCAAAUCGUACCCCAAACCGACACAGGUGGUCAGGUAGAGAAUACCAAGGCGCUUGAGAGAACUCGGGUGAAGGAACUAGGCAAAAUGGUGCCGUAACUUCGGGAGAAGGCACGCUGAUAUGUAGGUGAAGUCCCUUGCGGAUGGAGCUGAAAUCAGUCGAAGAUACCAGCUGGCUGCAACUGUUUAUUAAAAACACAGCACUGUGCAAACACGAAAGUGGACGUAUACGGUGUGACGCCUGCCCGGUGCCGGAAGGUUAAUUGAUGGGGUCAGCGCAAGCGAAGCUCUUGAUCGAAGCCCCGGUAAACGGCGGCCGUAACUAUAACGGUCCUAAGGUAGCGAAAUUCCUUGUCGGGUAAGUUCCGACCUGCACGAAUGGCGUAAUGAUGGCCAGGCUGUCUCCACCCGAGACUCAGUGAAAUUGAACUCGCUGUGAAGAUGCAGUGUACCCGCGGCAAGACGGAAAGACCCCGUGAACCUUUACUAUAGCUUGACACUGAACAUUGAGCCUUGAUGUGUAGGAUAGGUGGGAGGCUUUGAAGUGUGGACGCCAGUCUGCAUGGAGCCGGCCUUGAAAUACCACCCUUUAAUGUUUGAUGUUCUAACGUGGACCCGUGAUCCGGGUUGCGGACAGUGUCUGGUGGGUAGUUUGACUGGGGCGGUCUCCUCCUAAAGAGUAACGGAGGAGCACGAAGGUUGGCUAAUCCUGGUCGGACAUCAGGAGGUUAGUGCAAUGGCAUAAGCCAGCUUGACUGCGAGCGUGACGGCGCGAGCAGGUGCGAAAGCAGGUCAUAGUGAUCCGGUGGUUCUGAAUGGAAGGGCCAUCGCUCAACGGAUAAAAGGUACUCCGGGGAUAACAGGCUGAUACCGCCCAAGAGUUCAUAUCGACGGCGGUGUUUGGCACCUCGAUGUCGGCUCAUCACAUCCUGGGGCUGAAGUAGGUCCCAAGGGUAUGGCUGUUCGCCAUUUAAAGUGGUACGCGAGCUGGGUUUAGAACGUCGUGAGACAGUUCGGUCCCUAUCUGCCGUGGGCGCUGGAGAACUGAGGGGGGCUGCUCCUAGUACGAGAGGACCGGAGUGGACGCAUCACUGGUGUUCGGGUUGUCAUGCCAAUGGCACUGCCCGGUAGCUAAAUGCGGAAGAGAUAAGUGCUGAAAGCAUCUAAGCACGAAACUUGCCCCGAGAUGAGUUCUCCCUGACCCUUUAAGGGUCCUGAAGGAACGUUGAAGACGACGACGUUGAUAGGCCGGGUGUGUAAGCGCAGCGAUGCGUUGAGCUAACCGGUACUAAUGAACCGUGAGGCUUAACCUU
Molecule: ribosomal RNA, 1403 nt
Filed under: Shigella sonnei
Lineage: Bacteria; Pseudomonadati; Pseudomonadota; Gammaproteobacteria; Enterobacterales; Enterobacteriaceae
Description: partial 23S ribosomal RNA
Rfam family: Bacterial large subunit ribosomal RNA
Source: RNAcentral